UAAUUUGAGAGUUUGAUCCUGGCUCAGGACGAACGCUGGCGGCGUGCCUAAUACAUGCAAGUCGAACGAACUCUGGUAUUGAUUGGUGCUUGCAUCAUGAUUUACAUUUGAGUGAGUGGCGAACUGGUGAGUAACACGUGGGAAACCUGCCCAGAAGCGGGGGAUAACACCUGGAAACAGAUGCUAAUACCGCAUAACAACUUGGACCGCAUGGUCCGAGCUUGAAAGAUGGCUCUGGCUAUCACUUUUGGAUGGUCCCGCGGCGUAUUAGCUAGAUGGUGGGGUAACGGCUCACCAUGGCAAUGAUACGUAGCCGACCUGAGAGGGUAAUCGGCCACAUUGGGACUGAGACACGGCCCAAACUCCUACGGGAGGCAGCAGUAGGGAAUCUUCCACAAUGGACGAAAGUCUGAUGGAGCAACGCCGCGUGAGUGAAGAAGGGUUUCGGCUCGUAAAACUCUGUUGUUAAAGAAGAACAUAUCUGAGAGUAACUGUUCAGGUAUUGACGGUAUUUAACCAGAAAGCCACGGCUAACUACGUGCCAGCAGCCGCGGUAAUACGUAGGUGGCAAGCGUUGUCCGGAUUUAUUGGGCGUAAAGCGAGCGCAGGCGGUUUUUUAAGUCUGAUGUGAAAGCCUUCGACUCAACCGAAGAAGUGCAUCGGAAACUGGGAAACUUGAGUGCAGAAGAGGACAGUGGAACUCCAUGUGUAGCGGUGAAAUGCGUAGAUAUAUGGAAGAACACCAGUGGCGAAGGCGGCUGUCUGGUCUGUAACUGACGCUGAGGCUCGAAAGUAUGGGUAGCAAACAGGAUUAGAUACCCUGGUAGUCCAUACCGUAAACGAUGAAUGCUAAGUGUUGGAGGGUUUCCGCCCUUCAGUGCUGCAGCUAACGCAUUAAGCAUUCCGCCUGGGGAGUACGGCCGCAAGGCUGAAACUCAAAGGAAUUGACGGGGGCCCGCACAAGCGGUGGAGCAUGUGGUUUAAUUCGAAGCUACGCGAAGAACCUUACCAGGUCUUGACAUACUAUGCAAAUCUAAGAGAUUAGACGUUCCCUUCGGGGACAUGGAUACAGGUGGUGCAUGGUUGUCGUCAGCUCGUGUCGUGAGAUGUUGGGUUAAGUCCCGCAACGAGCGCAACCCUUAUUAUCAGUUGCCAGCAUUAAGUUGGGCACUCUGGUGAGACUGCCGGUGACAAACCGGAGGAAGGUGGGGAUGACGUCAAAUCAUCAUGCCCCUUAUGACCUGGGCUACACACGUGCUACAAUGGAUGGUACAACGAGUUGCGAACUCGCGAGAGUAAGCUAAUCUCUUAAAGCCAUUCUCAGUUCGGAUUGUAGGCUGCAACUCGCCUACAUGAAGUCGGAAUCGCUAGUAAUCGCGGAUCAGCAUGCCGCGGUGAAUACGUUCCCGGGCCUUGUACACACCGCCCGUCACACCAUGAGAGUUUGUAACACCCAAAGUCGGUGGGGUAACCUUUUAGGAACCAGCCGCCUAAGGUGGGACAGAUGAUUAGGGUGAAGUCGUAACAAGGUAGCCGUAGGAGAACCUGCGGCUGGAUCACCUCCUUU
Molecule: ribosomal RNA, 1567 nt
Filed under: Lactiplantibacillus plantarum
Lineage: Bacteria; Bacillati; Bacillota; Bacilli; Lactobacillales; Lactobacillaceae
Description: 16S ribosomal RNA
Rfam family: Bacterial small subunit ribosomal RNA
Source: RNAcentral